RNAcentral lists this non-coding RNA (118 nucleotides) under Actinoplanes sp. RNAcentral's name for it is "SAM-IV sequence". It matches the Rfam family "SAM (S-adenosyl methionine) riboswitch aptamer". From Rfam's summary of the family: SAM-IV is a mRNA element that regulates gene expression via direct sensing of S-adenosylmethionine (SAM or AdoMet). SAM-IV riboswitches share conserved nucleotide positions with the previously described SAM-I riboswitches sequence analysis and molecular recognition experiments suggest that SAM-I and SAM-IV riboswitches share similar ligand binding sites, but have different scaffolds. RNAcentral also lists the same sequence under 1 other name. Lineage: Bacteria; Bacillati; Actinomycetota; Actinomycetes; Micromonosporales; Micromonosporaceae. The record is from RNAcentral.
GGUCAUGAGUGUCAGCGUCAAGCCCCGGCUCGCUGACCGGCAACCCUUCCUGUUCGCGAUGGGGUGCCCCGGGUGAGGACCGGGCCGUUUCGCCGACCGGCGACGGCAAGCGCUGAAC